CGUAGGGUGCGAGCGUUAAUCGGAAUUACUGGGCGUAAAGCGUGCGCAGGCGGUUUGAUAAGACAGGCGUGAAAUCCCCGAGCUUAACUUGGGAAUGGCGCUUGUGACUGUCAGGCUAGAGUAUGUCAGAGGGGGGUAGAAUUCCACGUGUAGCAGUGAAAUGCGUAGAGAUGUGGAGGAAUACCGAUGGCGAAGGCAGCCCCCUGGGACGUCACUGACGCUCAUGCACGAAAGCGUGGGGAGCAAACAGG
Molecule: ribosomal RNA, 251 nt
Filed under: uncultured Cupriavidus sp.
Lineage: Bacteria; Pseudomonadati; Pseudomonadota; Betaproteobacteria; Burkholderiales; Burkholderiaceae
Description: partial 16S ribosomal RNA
Rfam family: Bacterial small subunit ribosomal RNA
Source: RNAcentral